AACGUAGGAGCCAAGCGUUAUCCGAAUUCACUGGGCGUAAAGCGCGCGUAGGCGGCUUUGCAAGUCGGGUGUGAAAUCCCCAGGCUUAACCUGGGAACUGCAUUCGAGACUGCAUUGCUAGAGUAUGGGAGAGGGAAGUGGAAUUUCCGGUGUAGCGGUGAAAUGCGUAGAUAUCGGAAGGAACAUCAGUGGCGAAAGCGACUUCCUGGACCAAUACUGACGCUCAUGUGCGAAAGCGUGGGGAGCAAACAGG
This 253-nucleotide ribosomal RNA is filed under the name uncultured bacterium. Its description in RNAcentral is "partial 16S ribosomal RNA". It matches the Rfam family "Bacterial small subunit ribosomal RNA", at positions 524 to 776 of the family's 1533-position model. The record is from RNAcentral.